Long non-coding RNA from Bombus terrestris (buff-tailed bumblebee), 3158 nucleotides. RefSeq lists it as uncharacterized. The record is from RefSeq and is a predicted model, not a curated record. The transcript has 3 exons. Lineage: Eukaryota; Metazoa; Arthropoda; Insecta; Hymenoptera; Apidae.
CAGUAUAUCUCUAUUGAUAAAAGGUUCCUUCAAAUUUAAAUGUUAUUUAUAUGCAUGAUUUCUCGUUUCAAUUUUAUGCUUGUUAUAUUGCAAGUAAUGCAAAGAACACAGUAGAGGAGGACGAGUUAACUCGUCAUUGGAAUUCCUAACCUCUAGGGUAUAAUUAUUUCUUUGUUUAUCAAUCUCUUACUUUCAAUUGUACCGUUUCAUUCUUAUUGCAAGUAAUUUGUGUAGGUAAUAUUUACAUUUGCAAGAACCAACAUUCACCUAACUGAAAUUAAUUUGCCUUUGUCAAGUCUAUUCAAGUCUAUGAUUAUAGAAGUUUGCAGUUAAGUUUCAGCGCUAGAAUUCUCUGGCCUCGUUAAUAAACUGACUCGUCGACAGACCAGGUAGCUCGUAGUUUCGCAUCUCGGGCAUCUUACGACUUUCGAGGUCGAAAAUUUCAAAGGAACGGUCAAUCAACUUCCGUCUCUGGUUCUCGAAGAUCGCUUCACAAUUGAAACGUCACGAAAACGAAUGGCUACACGUCAGUUUGGAUGGAAAAGCCAUUAACGAACAUGAUCCUCGAAAAGCAACUUAACGCUGAAGGGGUUCUCGAACCCUUAUUAUCGCUACGACUAAUUUUUCUUGACUCCUACGAAAAAUUCACUUCACUGUCCCACGAGAACGACCUUUGACUCGAUGGAACUCAAAUUUUUCCAGAUUUAUCCCACCAUCUUCGUAUCUUUCCGCAUCUUCAAACAAAGCUACCAUCCAAUAUCCCCACUUCGAAUCUCGUGCAAACAAAAAUCCUUCCUCGAUUUCCAUCAGACAUGUCGGUUGUUUGAAUUGUCAAGCAAUCGUCUAGCCAUAACCUAGAAAAGGUAAACAGUGGAAGACGAAGAGGGAAAGGGAUUGCGACAUCCGAUGCUAGGGCUACGUGUCGAGACAGUGGAUGGACAGGACGAGAUCCGUUGCACAGGACACCCAAUUGAAACGUCCCGGAACGAAGGAUGGAUGGCUGUCACUAGCGUGAGGGAGGUCUGACCGUGCGAGCACGGUUGCCAUUUUGAAUUCCCCUCGAUUGCUGGGCCGAGUUUGAGGGAUCGUAGGCGGAGAUGAAGCUUUUACACCGUGCAACGAAGACGGGAGAUGGAAGGCUGGUCGGGAUGGAUGCCGUUCAGAAGACGACCAGGUACCCAGGCCUGAUACCUCGUACAAGGAUACACCUUAUUCCGAGCAGAGGAUAAACGCGGAGGACUGUAUCGACCGGAUGGCAAGAUAGUUGGAAGCUGAAAGAGAAGCAAACGGGAUGGUAAAAAGCAAAACGAUCCAUGAACCGGGCAACAAGACGGUGGCGGACAGGACUAGGGGCGAAGACGCUAGAACGAGGCAUUUGUCGCGAGUAGAGCAAACACUCGCAACUCCAUCAACGUCGCCGAAGUUUCUUUCGGGUGUUGCCUCGGCUACGGUUGUAUUCAACGGCACGGAGCGUCGGUGUUCUAUCGCUUUUCGGUUUUUGCCUGUCACCCCUGCCCCUCGUAAGCGCCGCGACCGUGCGCUAGCAAACCACUCGUGGCUGCCCCCUCUGGCUGAGAAAUGCCGCUACUUUUAUUUUGCCGGUUCCCUACGUUAGCGAUUUUUCCAUCACCGCGGCGAGAUAUUUCACCGGCAAUCUAAGAGUCGCAAAUGGAGUCCACAAUGAGGCAGAAAUGGCUUGGCGCACUGAUGGCCCCGGCAUUUGUCUUCCCUCUGUUCCUUCCUCCUUUCCUCGUCCUCCUUCCUUUCCCUAGCUCCAGCACGCGUCUCUUCUCACCCCUCUCUUUGCAACCUACGGUCAGAUGACCAGCGCCUUAUUCACGCUGCAAUUGUUUUCCUUUAAUCUUGCCUCGUUUCUUUUUUAAUCGAACCAUAGGCAAACGUAUCCGUCCGUUGAUUACAUUGGUGUACACCGUGUGCGAAGAGUUUGCAGGAUAGAAGAGGAUCCGAAGCUUGAGACGAGCAUCCUGCCCCAAUUAAAAUAUCCUGAUCACCAAAGAGCAGAGGAAAAAAUAAAAGGCACGAGACUCUUCAUCUUUUCCAGUUUAACCGACCAUCAGCUCAAGUGAACACGCUUAUUAACGACAUCAUUGCGGCCAGCUGCUGGUACAGGGCUAUCUUUAUGCAAAGAGCGCGUAAGCGUCGAGGAAAAGGGCAGAGGAUCGUGGAACGCGGUCGUGCGAGUCAGCGCAGCCAUCUCGAGGGCGCCACCGUCCCCGCCAUCUUCUCCGCGCCGGGCAAUAGCCGCGCAAUUAUAAGUCCAUCAACGGCGAACGAAGCUCCGCGUUUUUCUGACGCCAGCCGCGAGUGCUGAAGAGAAGGAAGAACGAGCGCGCAAGCAAGAGGACGCUUUCUACGGUGCUCGGAUCGUGUGCGUGGCGCGUACAGCGCUUUGCUCGAAAGAGGCAGAGACCGGUAACGCGGGCAUUUCGUGCAUCAAAGUCGGUCUGAUGCGAUUUUAAUCGCGGCUACCCCUCCCGCUUUUUCUCCGCCCGCCGCCAAAGGCCUCGACUCUCGGCCGGACCAACCCCUAGCCACCCGGUCCCGUGUAAAACCGAUUAAUUUCAUUCCUCUGCCCCUCGAUAUCGAAGGAAUCUAGCCGCCGGCUGACGACAACCGGCUCCGCGUAAUACGUGCCUUCUUGCCAUUGUCGCCCUUUCCAAUCUAGUCCCCCUAUAUAUUAGCAAUUAACCGUUGCAACGAUCGAAUUUCAGAUCACGAGUGAAGGAUUUCUCCGAAUGCAGACUUUUAACGUCUAAAAUACCGGUAACUCGAUAUAGCGCGAGAUGGAUCGAAUGACCGAUAAGAUAAGCUAAGAAUAUUGUUCCUUAUCAGUAGGCGAGAGAAUGUAAUUAUUGAAGUUUAACGUAGCGUGUUAUAAGUGGACCGUUUAAAUGGAUAUCAGAUACCAAUCGUCCGAGAAAUUGUUAGCUAUGAAUAAAGAUAAGAAUGCUUUAAAGUUUUACAUUUUAAAUAACUUUUUAAUAAACCAUUUUCUUAUUACUUUUAUAACAAUUCAACAGUUUUAUUAUUAGAGAAUAUCUUUUCAAAUAACUACGACGAUCCUUCGCAAGUAGUCAAAUAAGCGACACCCGAAUGUGGGUUACGCGGCCCGACCAGAAACUUUCCUGACACCCGAA